GAAACAACUUUAAUGGACAGCUUCCACCUUCUUGUCAUAUUCCUCAGUCUUUCUAGAGAUGUCAGCUGAUAGUUCAGGCAUCUCUUUCUAAUUUCUCCUCCCUUAUUUGUUUUUCACUUCCAGAGAUGAGCUAGUAGUUGGGAGGAAAAAAAAAAUUGGUCAUAAGGCAGGGCAGGAGGAGGCAGAGAGAAGACACAGUCACAUACACAAAAAGAAUUAGCCUUUAACAUGCACCAGAGGUUAAUAUUUGCCACUUGGCUUUCACAUAUGGAUAUUAAAAACAAGUUUAGUGACACCUGAAAGUUCUUUGGGUAAACUAAGAUAAUACUUUGUUUGUUUUGUUUUGUAAGACUUUACAGUUGUUAGCUAAACACAGAUAUCACAACAAGCAAUUAUACAUUUUCUGCCACAAGAAUCAUUAGAUCCUAGUGCUAUCAGGACAGGCAAGAGUCUCUGAGACACUGCUAUUUAUUUAGAGUUAAAGAAUACAAAUAAAAAAGGUGGCAUUAAAGAAAGUACUGGGCCUUCAGAUCAACAGAAAAUCGACUUUUUGGUUUCUGAGCUUAUUCGUUUACAGAACACAUCAAAUAAUAUCAAGACUUAGCACUUAGGGCUGCCUACCUUCGUACUAUACCCUUAGCUCAAUCCAGGCAAACAUUCACAUUAGCAUUUUGUGUAGGUCGGACUGAAGAAUAAUAUUCUAUCUUCUACUAAGGCGCUGGCAUUUUGGCUGUCCUGCAUGGGUUUCUACAGUGAACAGCAAGCUCUGAUCCCAUAGCAAGCACUGCGCCUCAGAGUCAACAAAGUCCAGUCACUAGAGAACACAGCUGAAUUGAAUCAGCCAAGUCCUCUGCUGCACCACCUGUAGACCUGGUUCCCCUCACCCUUCCCUCAGCCGAUUUGAGGGGAGCAGCUGAGUACUGGGACAGUGGGUUCUGAGUUCAUUCUCAGGUUUCUUAGGGAAGUAAGCUAAGUGUGAAGUUGUUUGCUAUCUUAACUUCUAAGGACUGCCCAAAGGAGGGUUUAUGUGACUUAUUCAUAAGCCAAGUGACUUUUCCCCAAGUGACUCUCAAGUCAGUUUUCCCAUCCACAAAAGAAGAAGGCCGAUUCUUGCUAUUAUCAUCAGAUACCAGAGCCCUCUUAGCACAUGGGUGCGUGAGCUCCUCUGUUGAAUAUUGCAAACAGAUCUUACCAGCGUCACUAGGAGGCAACUGAAGAAGUUCCCUGUCUAUUCCCCACUCCACAGCAACCGGAGAUCUGCAUAUCCCUGCCAGGAGCACAUAGAUACACUGCUAGCCUCACCCAUGGUAGCCUACCGGAGCCAACACUAUUUAAAGACAGCAGUGGAAUUCUUACUUGACCUUCUGGCUCAGUGAGAGAUCGUAGGACGAGCCUUCCUCCGCUGAGUUGAAUUGGGCAGAUCCACUUGUUGAAGUACAUGCAGCUGUCAGACAAACACUGGUGAGUGCCAGAAUCAGGCCCGCUGGUGUCUGCUGCUGAAUUUGGGCUCACACUGAAUUUCCAUGACCUUGCUGUAACCGAGAGGCAAGCUAGGACAACAGCACCACACUUUUCCUGCUGAACAGUCAUUCUCUCCUAGCCUUUUCAGUCAUUUGAUCUCACAGCAACUCUACUCCAGGAAAGAACAUAACCAUAUUUUGAAGAUGACCCAAGAGCUUACUACAGGGAAAAUAGUGGUCUUUGUUUCACUGCCAGUUUCCAUCGGUGCCUUUCAAAAGUAGCAUGAUCUUACAGUUUGCUGACUGACCGAGGAUGUUUUCCUGCACAUCGUUUGUAGCUUUGAUGCUGCCCCAUUCAAAUAACUCCCAGGUCUUGCUAAGGAAAUCAAAGCACUGAGCAUGGGCUGAUCGGCCACGGAGUAUCUUCAGACAAAGAAUGGGAGCUAAUUGGGUACUUGAAAUGGGGAGCUGGCAGCUCACAGUCUUGAUGAUAUGUGGAUUUCAUGUCACUUGGUUCUCAGUGCUGAGCCGUUGCAGUGGUGUGCUCAGAAACAACUCAGGAGGCAGUUGCAGCUUCCAAGCGUACAAUUAAGAAGAAAUCCUACGUUCACUGGAAAGGAAGAUGACUUUGAAAAGACACUUCUGUCCCAGGAAUAAUACUGCUAAAUGUACAAAACUGAUGCAUGCUAGAAAGAAAAUUGUAGUGAUUACUUAGCUGGCUGACUUAAUAAAUGGUUGUUAGAAGAAAUGUG
Erinaceus europaeus (western European hedgehog) is the source of this 2212-nucleotide long non-coding RNA. RefSeq lists it as uncharacterized. The record is from RefSeq and is a predicted model, not a curated record. Lineage: Eukaryota; Metazoa; Chordata; Mammalia; Eulipotyphla; Erinaceidae. The transcript is spliced from 2 exons.